CUUGACUAAUUAUAAGAGGUCCAGCCUGCCCAGUGACACUGUUCAACGGCCGCGGUAUCCUAACCGUGCGAAGGUAGCGUAAUCACUUGUUCUUUAAAUGAGGACUAGUAUGAAUGGCACCACGAGGGUUAUACUGUCUCCUUUCUUUAAUCAGUGAGACUAAUCUCCCCGUGAAGAAGCGGGGAUAAUUUUAUAAGACGAGAAGACCCUAUGGAGCUUUAAACAAGUAAUAAUUGCCUUUAUUAAUUUUUAAUCUACGGAAAUUUACCCUCUUAUCCAGGCACUCUAAUUACACGUUUUAGGUUGGGGUGACCGCGGAGCAUAAAAUAACCUCCAUAGUGAACGGGUAUUAUUCCCUAAACCCAGGGCUACAACCCUAAGCAUCAAUAAAUUGACACCCAUUGACCCAAUAUCUUGAUCAAUGAAC
Molecule: ribosomal RNA, 427 nt
Filed under: Leptodactylus guianensis group sp. ABGD cluster 28
Lineage: Eukaryota; Metazoa; Chordata; Amphibia; Anura; Leptodactylidae
Description: partial large subunit ribosomal RNA
Rfam family: Bacterial large subunit ribosomal RNA
Source: RNAcentral